RNAcentral lists this ribosomal RNA (253 nucleotides) under uncultured bacterium. RNAcentral describes it as "partial 16S ribosomal RNA". It matches the Rfam family "Bacterial small subunit ribosomal RNA", at positions 524 to 776 of the family's 1533-position model. The record is from RNAcentral.
AACGUAGGGGGCAAGCGUUGCCCGGAUUCACUGGGCGUAAAGCGCGUGUAGGCGGUCCGUCAAGUCGGGUGUGAAAUCUCGAGGCUCAACCUCGAAAUCGCAUCCGAUACUGGCGGACUUGAGGACGGUAGAGGUCGGUGGAAUUCCCGGUGUACCGGUGAAAUGGGCAGAUAUCGGGAGGAACACCCGUGGCGAAGGCGGCCCCCUGGGCCGUACCUGACGCUGAGGCGCGAAGGCUAGGGGAGCGAACGGG